This 667-nucleotide long non-coding RNA is filed under the name Homo sapiens (human). RNAcentral describes it as "HSALNT0141488". Lineage: Eukaryota; Metazoa; Chordata; Mammalia; Primates; Hominidae. The record is from RNAcentral.
GAGGAAGCGGUCCUGGCAGAAACUUCACAUUGAAGCAACUCUGGGAAAUUUUUCAUGACGCUGAAAACACAAAGGAUAAAAUGUUGGGAGCUGAUCCAGUCUUAGAAAGGAGAACAAUUCAUCACGUCAGAGAAAAGAUGCUCUCUCCAUGUCGUAAGUUACACAAGAAGGAUUCACGAUAGACAAGAUAUGGAAUCAAUCUGUAACCAUCAACAAAUGAAUAAAGACGCUGUGAUGUAUACACAAAAUGGAAUACUCUACAGCAGUCCAUUGUGAAAGAGAAGGAAUUCCUGUCAUUUAUCACAACAUGGGUGAAUCUAUAGGACACGAAAAAAGGCUGGGCGUGGUGGAUCACUUCUGUAAUCCUAGCACUUUGGGAGGCUGAGGAGCUCUGAGGAGUGAAUCCACAAUACAGUUCAAAGAGAGAUUUAAAUUGCUAAUUUCCCGGCACUGGAAUGUGGGGAAAGAUUGUCACAGAUUUAGCAUGAAAGCCAUGUAUUUAACAUUCCUAUGUAAUAACCCUCUCUUAAAUUGCAUUUUGGUUUGAGAAACAGCAAGAACAAGGAAGCCAUCCCCAGUGGAAGCUUCAUUCUCAGGGAGGUAGCAAGAUGGCUGUAGCACUUCCAGAUCGCAACAGAAGCAUGACUAUUUUGAGGAAAAAGAGAGA